ACCCAUAGCAUAUGGAAAUUCCCAGGCCAGGGAUCGAAUCUGAGCCACAGCUAUGACAUAUGUCACAGCUGUGGCAAUGCCAGAUCAUUAAUCCACUGUGGCAGGCCAGACAUCAAACCCAAGCCUCAGUAAUGAACCCAGGUGCCACAGAGACAAUGCCUAGAGAGUUCCUUUCUGAGGGUUCUCCUUAUAAGAGAACAGUGUGAACUGGUUGUCCUUUUAGUUUGCUAAAUAGCAGCCAUGCUGACACUUUUCUUUAUCCCCUUUGCAUGGAACCUCUUGUUUUCAGUUGUCUACAUCUUCCUUCUCAUACUUUACUUAAUCAUCUAGAUAAGUCACAUUCUGCAGUGAUUUCCUAGGAAUCAGUCCAGGAACAGUACUUUUGGAGGACUGGAGAGAGGCCUCUUUUAGUCUAACAGCACACUGGCUGCCUGGGUAUAAAAUUCUAAGUAAUGAGAUUGGUUACCUUAUGGUUUUGAAGAAUUUUUCUACAGUGUAGUUGUUGAGAGGUCUGAUGCCACUGCACUCCUUUAGAUGUGAAACAUGCCUAUUUUUUCCCCUUGGGAAGCUCUUACCAUUUUUCUUUAUCCUUCAUGUGCUGAAAUUUUGUGAUGAUUUUCCAUGGUGUGGGUAUUUUCCAUUUAUUAUGCUGGAUAGUUAGUGGUCUUUUUCAAUGUGAAGAAAUAUCUUCAGAGAGAAGUUUAAUAAUUUUUUUGGUAAUUUCUUUUUCCUUUUACUUUUUCUGUUAUUCUUUUAUGGAAGUCCAAUUUGCAAUAUGGUGGGAUUCCUGGGUUAAGCCUUGAAUCUCAUGUUUAUUCCACCUUUUUUUUUUUAAUCUCUUUGCUUCUUGUUCUAUUUUCUAGUUCUCCAAACUUUCUCUUCCAGCCUAUUUAAAUUUAUAAUUAAAUAAAAUUAAAUCAAUUUAUAAUAUUUUUAAUUUCAAAGUUCUGCCUUUACUUAUUCAAAAUUUAAAUAGCAUCUUAAUGGAUUUUGUAUUUUCUUUUCCUUUUAGGGGGACGUUGUAUUUUCUUAUUUAAUGGACUCCUCAUUUUCUCAACUCUGUUUUUCUCUAACUUGUUUCUUUUCUUUUUGCUUUCGUAUUUUAAUUGUCUGGCUACCUCUUCAUUGUUAGUUUCCUCUGGAUCCCAUUAUACCGUUUAUUUAGGUUUAGUAUGUUUUUCAUGUUGGAGGUUUUCCUGGACAAUUACUGGGGUGAACUGUUGGAUAUUCACUCAUAUUAAGAAUGAAGCACCAAAAGAAAGUGUGUGGGUAGGACUUUGUCAAUUCGUGGGCUUCACUGAGAGUUAAUCAGCUUAAUCAGAUAAAAUGUCCUAUUUGUAGAAUUAUCUCCAAAUGUUUGACUCUGUGAAAAUCUCUUGUUCUGGGGAUAGUUAAGAGGUCUCAAAUGUAAAAUCCUAUUUCUUUUCUAUCUUUUGCUAAAUGUGUUCAAACUAUUUUGAGCAGGCUUUCCAAAAACUACAGUAAUUUCAAGGAUAUUGUGCAAAGACAUUCACUUCUUCUGAAUUCAUUAAAAUUAUUUUAUAAUUAAUUGUAAUGAUACUUUUAAGUGAUUUGUCAAUUUACAAUGUUUUAGGGAAAAAAAUUAAACUAGUUAAGUCAUUCCCACAGACUUACACAGCAUGUGAGACAUGUUUUAUUUUUAUUUAUUUAUUUAUUUUUUGGUCUUUUUAGGACCACACUUGCGGCAUAUGGAAGUUCCCAGGCUAGGGGUCUAAUCAGAGUUACGGCUACUGGCCUAGGCCACAGCCACAGCAAUGUAGGUUCCAAGCCACCUCUGGUUACCUACACCACAGCUCAUGGCAAUGCUGAAUCCUUAACCCACUGAGAAAGGCCAGAGAUCAAACCCGCAACCUCGUGGUUCCUAAUCAGAUUUGUUCCUGCUGUUUUUAGGUAACUCUGAUUUAGAUAAAUAUAGAACUGGAAAAGACUUUAAGCUAUUAUUCUGAAUCAACUAUCUUAUUUUUUUAGAAGAGAAAACAGUAUCUGAAUUGUUCUUCCAAGGUAAAUAUUUUUUGAAAUUUCAAAACCCGAUGUGUUAACAGUUUUUUCCAAAAGAGUUAACCUUGCAGAGUUCAGAAAACUGGGGGAAUUUUUAAAAAUUUUUUUCUUCUUUUUACGGUUGUACCUAUGGCAUGUGGAUGUUCCCAGGCUAAGAGUUGAAUCCGAGCUGCACCUGAAAACCUACAUCACAGCCAUGCCAGAUCCAAGCCACAUAUGUGAAAUACACCACAGCUCUCAGCAGUGCUGGAUCCUUUAACCCAGUGAGCAAGGCCAGGGAUUGAACCCACAUCCUCAGAUACUAGUUGGGUUCUUAACCCAUGGAGCCACAAUGGGAACUACCAAAUUUGUGGAUUUGAAUUAAGUAUUCUCUCUCCCUUAUAUCAGGUCAAAUAUGUUCAACUUAUACCUUAAGCAUUCAAAUUUUCCUCUGAGGAAUUUCUUCUUUGGUGAAGUGGGUUAAGAAUCCUACUGCAGUGGCUCAGAUUUCUGCAGAGGUAUGGGUUCAAUCCUUAGGCCAUUCCACUGGGUUAAUGGAUCAGCAUUUUUGCAGCUUUGGCAUAGGUUGCAGCUGCAGCAAAGAUUCAAUUCCUGACCCAGGAACUUCCAUAUGCCAUGGGUGCAGCCAUUAAAAAAAAAAUAAAAAUUCUCCUUUGCUUUCCUACUGCCUUAAGUUGUUUAAAGCAAUACUGUUUUUGAUUAGGUUGGUGUAACAGCUUUCUAACCACCCCCUUCAUAUUGUGGGCACUUCAUACUGAUCCCUUCAUUUUCAAAACUUCAAUGAAUUUUAUUAUAUUUACAGUUUUACAACCAUCAUCACCAUCUAAUUUUAGAACAAUUCCAUCCCAAACCCCCAAUCCAUCCCUUCCCCCAAAUCUGUCCCUUUUAGUAACUGUAAACUUUUCAAUACCUGUGUAUUUCUGUUCUGCAAAGAAGUUCAUUGUAUCCUUUUUAAAGAUUCCACAUAUAAAUGAUAGCAUAUAUUUGUCUCUCAUUGUCUGACUAACUUUACUUUUAGCAUGAUAAUUUCUAGGUCCAUCCAUGUUGCUGCAAAUGACAUUUCAUUCUUUUUUAAGGCU
Molecule: long non-coding RNA, 3098 nt
Filed under: Sus scrofa (pig)
Lineage: Eukaryota; Metazoa; Chordata; Mammalia; Artiodactyla; Suidae
Description: lncRNA (ENSSSCG00000054751.1, ENSSSCG00130031194.1, ENSSSCG00180038382.1)
Source: RNAcentral